ACUCCUACGGGAGGCAGCAGUAGGGAAUCUUCCACAAUGGACGAAAGUCUGAUGGAGCAACGCCGCGUGAGUGAAGAAGGGUUUCGGCUCGUAAAACUCUGUUGUUAAAGAAGAACAUAUCUGAGAGUAACUGUUCAGGUAUUGGCGGUAUUUAACCAGAAAGCCACGGCUAACUACGUGCCAGCAGCCGCGGUAAUACA
Molecule: ribosomal RNA, 200 nt
Filed under: uncultured bacterium
Lineage: Bacteria
Description: partial 16S ribosomal RNA
Rfam family: Bacterial small subunit ribosomal RNA
Source: RNAcentral